GAUGAAGAACGCAGCGAAAUGCGAUAAGUAAUGUGAAUUGCAGAAUUCAGUGAAUCAUCGAAUCUUUGAACGCACCUUGCGCCCUUUGGCCAUUCCGAAGGGCAUGCCUGUUUGAGUAUCAUGAACACCUCAACUCUCAUGGCUCGCCAUGAUGAGCUUGGAUUUGGGGGUCUUGCUGGCCUGUGGUCGGCUCCUCUCAAAUGGAUCAGCUUGCCAGUGUUUGGUGGCAUCACAGGUGUGAUAACUAUCUGCGCUUGUGGUUUUCCAUCAGAUAACCUUCAGUGAUGGAGGUUCGCUGGAGCUCAUAAACGUCUCCCCUAAGCGGGGACAGCCCUUUGAAUGUUUGAUCUCAAAUCAGGUAGGACUACCCGCUGAACUUAAGCAUAUUAAUAAGCGGAGGA
RNAcentral lists this unclassified non-coding RNA (401 nucleotides) under soil metagenome. Its description in RNAcentral is "partial contains 5.8S ribosomal RNA, internal transcribed spacer 2, and large subunit ribosomal RNA". The stretch from base 1 to 121 matches the Rfam family "5.8S ribosomal RNA", at positions 35 to 154 of the family's 154-position model. The record is from RNAcentral.